UUAUAUAAAAUACAAAUACUUACCCUCUACUACAUACAUCCCACUACUACUAGCACUUAUCUCCUUGUUCUCUCCUUUCAUUAUCAGCCUUAAAAGGCACUUAUCAGUUUGCAAAUACGAAAUCCGGAUUGUAGUAUUGGUUUUCGUAUCACUCCUUUUAGGAAGCAAAUCAGCUAGUCGUUUAUAAAGUAUUACUAAGCAAGUCAGUCAGCUAUAAGUUAGCAAGCCAGCUCUCAAGAUUAAUUGGUGUUAUCAGGUU
Molecule: long non-coding RNA, 259 nt
Filed under: Oryza brachyantha (malo sina)
Lineage: Eukaryota; Viridiplantae; Streptophyta; Magnoliopsida; Poales; Poaceae
Description: long non-coding RNA (OBRA_LNC003569)
Source: RNAcentral